UGGUCUGAGAGGAUGAUCAGCCACAUUGGGACUGAGACACGGCCCAAACUCCUACGGGAGGCAGCAGUGGGGAAUAUUGGACAAUGGGCGCAAGCCUGAUCCAGCCAUGCCGCGUGAGUGAUGACGGCCUUAGGGUUGUAAAGCUCUUUCGUCAGGGACGAUAAUGACGGUACCUGAAGAAGAAGCCCCGGCUAACUUCGUGCCAGCAGCCGCGGUAAUACGAAGGGGGCUAGCGUUGUUCGGAAUUACUGGGCGUAAAGCGCGUGUAGGCGGGUCUUUAAGUCAGGGGUGAAAUGCCAGGGCUCAACCUUGGAACUGCCUUUGAUACUGGAGAUCUUGAGUCCGGGAGAGGUGAGUGGAACUGCGAGUGUAGAGGUGAAAUUCGUAGAUAUUCGCAAGAACACCAGUGGCGAAGGCGGCUCACUGGCCCGGUACUGACGCUGAGAUGCGAAAGCGUGGGGAGCAAACAGGAUUAGAUACCCUGGUAGUCCACGCUGUAAACGAUGGAUGCUAGCCGUUAGGCAGCUUGCUGCUUAGUGGCGCAGUUAACACUUUAAGCAUCCCGCCUGGGGAGUACGGUCGCAAGAUUAAAACUCAAAGGAAUG
RNAcentral lists this ribosomal RNA (605 nucleotides) under uncultured bacterium. RNAcentral describes it as "bacterial SSU rRNA". It matches the Rfam family "Bacterial small subunit ribosomal RNA", at positions 288 to 911 of the family's 1533-position model. The record is from RNAcentral.